GAUGAACGCUGGCGGCGUGCCUAAUACAUGCGAGUCGAGCGAACAGACGAGGAGCUUGCUCCUCUGACGUUAGCGGCGGACGGGUGAGUAACACGUGGAUAACCUACCUAUAAGACUGGGAUAACUUCGGGAAACCGGAGCUAAUACCGGAUAAUAUAUUGAACCGCAUGGUUCGAUAGUGAAAGACGGUUUUGCUGUCACUUAUAGAUGGAUCCGCGCCGCAUUAGCUAGUUGGUAAGGUAACGGCUUACCAAGGCGACGAUGCGUAGCCGACCUGAGAGGGUGAUCGGCCACACUGGAACUGAGACACGGUCCAGACUCCUACGGGAGGCAGCAGUAGGGAAUCUUCCGCAAUGGGCGAAAGCCUGACGGAGCAACGCCGCGUGAGUGAUGAAGGUCUUCGGAUCGUAAAACUCUGUUAUUAGGGAAGAACAAAUGUGUAAGUAACUAUGCACGUCUUGACGGUACCUAAUCAGAAAGCCACGGCUAACUACGUG
This 497-nucleotide ribosomal RNA is filed under the name uncultured bacterium. Its description in RNAcentral is "partial 16S ribosomal RNA". It matches the Rfam family "Bacterial small subunit ribosomal RNA", at positions 28 to 507 of the family's 1533-position model. The record is from RNAcentral.